Molecule: non-coding RNA, 517 nt
Organism: Paramuricea clavata
Lineage: Eukaryota; Metazoa; Cnidaria; Anthozoa; Malacalcyonacea; Plexauridae
Source: the annotation of a GenBank genome assembly
GACGUCUGCAAAGAAAAAUGAAAGGGAAUAAAGAGAUUUUUGCAAGGAAAUUUGUCCGAAAAAAUGGAAAUUUCAAGCUAUAAAAGAGGAAAUCAAUUUUUUUGCUGUGGAAACACUGGAACCCGGCUGUUGUGUCAACACAAGUGUUUACCAGAGAGUGUUUACAGUACUAGGCGAGUUUGUUAGGCAUGCGAACGGCGAGAAAAUGCCGAAAAGAUGCGUUGUUGCCGGUUGUAACAACAUAGGAGAUAAGGAAAAAGAAAUAUCGUUGCAUGCAAUUUCUUAUUCGGGGGACGAACGGCCCGAAGCGAAAAAAAAACGAAAGAAAUGGACUGACUUCGUACUAAGCCUCAAACGUGCAAAAUGGACGCUGACGUCGUAUUCAGUCAUAUGCUCUGAGCAUUUCAAGCCCGAGGAUUUUUUGCGACGGUUUUCCCAUGUCGAAGGUGAAAGCUUCGUUGGCAACAGAUGGCUCAAAAGGGACGAGAUCGGAAUUUGUGUAUUCCCAACAAUCAUG